AAACAACGAUGUGGACACUUUCUCAUUAAUUCCUUGUAUCUUUCCCAUGCUUCAUACAAGGAUUCACUUUCGCUCUACACAAACGAAGUGGUGUCGUUUCUCAUUUU
Molecule: small nucleolar RNA, 107 nt
Organism: Pistacia vera
Lineage: Eukaryota; Viridiplantae; Streptophyta; Magnoliopsida; Sapindales; Anacardiaceae
Source: RefSeq, a predicted model, not a curated record